RNAcentral lists this ribosomal RNA (253 nucleotides) under uncultured bacterium. Its description in RNAcentral is "partial 16S ribosomal RNA". It matches the Rfam family "Bacterial small subunit ribosomal RNA", at positions 524 to 776 of the family's 1533-position model. The record is from RNAcentral.
UACGUAGGGUGCAAGCGUUGUCCGGAAUUAUUGGGCGUAAAGAGCUCGUAGGCGGUCUGUCGCGUCGGAUGUGAAAACCCGGGGCUUAACCCCGGGCCUGCAUUCGAUACGGGCAGACUCGAGUGUGGUAGGGGAGACUGGAACUCCUGGUGUAGCGGUGAAAUGCGCAGAUAUCAGGAGGAACACCGGUGGCGAAGGCGCCUAUCUGGCCCGAUACUGACGCUGAGGCGCGAAAGCUAGGGGAGCAAACGGG